Molecule: ribosomal RNA, 454 nt
Filed under: Streptococcus mitis
Lineage: Bacteria; Bacillati; Bacillota; Bacilli; Lactobacillales; Streptococcaceae
Description: bacterial SSU rRNA
Rfam family: Bacterial small subunit ribosomal RNA
Source: RNAcentral
GACGAACGCUGGCGGCGUGCCUAAUACAUGCAAGUAGAACGCUGAAGGAGGAGCUUUGCUUCUCUGGAUGAGUUGCGAACGGGUGAGUAACGCGUAGGUAACCUGCCUGGUAGCGGGGGAUAACUAUUGGAAACGAUAGCUAAUACCGCAUAAGAGUAGAUGUUGCAUGACAUUUGCUUAAAAGGUGCAAUUGCAUCACUACCAGAUGGACCUGCGUUGUAUUAGCUAGUUGGUGAGGUAACGGCUCACCAAGGCAACGAUACAUAGCCGACCUGAGAGGGUGAUCGGCCACACUGGGACUGAGACACGGCCCAGACUCCUACGGGAGGCAGCAGUAGGGAAUUUUCGGCAAUGGACGGAAGUCUGACCGAGCAACGCCGCGUGAGUGAAGAAGGUUUUCGGAUCGUAAAGCUCUGUUGUAAGAGAAGAACGAGUGUGAGAGUGGAAAGUUCAC